Long non-coding RNA from Mauremys reevesii (Reeves's turtle), 1665 nucleotides. RefSeq lists it as uncharacterized. The transcript has 2 exons. Lineage: Eukaryota; Metazoa; Chordata; Testudines; Geoemydidae. The record is from RefSeq and is a predicted model, not a curated record.
AUGGUGGCAGCAUACUGAUCUAAGCUGGUAAUUAAGCUUAGGGUUUCUCAUGCAGGUCCCCACAUAUGUACCCUAAAGUUCAGAGUGGGGGUGGAACCUAUGACUACUUCUCCACUUCAUAGUCUACAAUAUCUUCUUGGCUUCAUCUCUCUUCUCAGUCACCUGUGUGAUGCAUACCAUUAGUCAUGCACUCACACUUGCUCCUGUCAUGACUUUAUUACAUCUGACCAGGCAAGUCUCAGAAUAAGGAAACCUCUCAAUAGAAUAAGUACUGUGUGUUCCAUUUGGACAAGGUGGUCUUUUGAACUGAUGUGGCAUUCAGCCCCAAAGUACUCCAUCUUUCAUAAAUCCCAAGGUAGUCUUGCUGUCCUUGUGCUUCUCCAAAGCAUUCACAGUCAAAGAAGAGACUCUAGAACUUGCUGGAUGUUCACUGGCCUUCAAAAUAUAGAUUGAAUGUACUCAGUUCCUCAGGAAAUCCUAGGCCCUUUCAUGUUUUUCCACUCAUGUAUGAAGGCCGAGAAAUCUUGCAAAUCAUCUAUCUCAUGAUUCAUUAGAUGGAACAUCUUGGGGGCACAAAGCAAAAAACCUUAUCUCUUCAUUAAACAUCAGGGCCCUGUCCCUAAGUGAGGGGUGACAACAUAUGUUUUGGAGGGCUAGUAUGCACAAAUUCACGUAGUCACUGACAGUUUUAAUCACAGGAAACAAACUGGCUCUACAAAGCAGAUCCACCUCAAUAACCAAACAGGCCUCUGUAGAAGGAUUGUUUUGAGAUCAGUAAAUGGCUAUGUGAGUAGAAAAUCAUUAAGAGGCAAAAUAUUUUCUCUGUCAUAGGAUCAGAUCAUCUCCCCCAACCUCCAUCCCUGACCGUUAUGUAGAGAGGCUGAUAAGUAGGACCUCACAAAAGCCCAAGGCUUAACAUCAGCCCAGAGAGCCAGAGGUGCUGAUCUAGCAAACCUUACAAAGACCUGUGCUUUGACAAGAGCCAGUAGCCUCACAGAGGCCUGACUUUGACUUUACCCCAGCAAAGUAGUGGUUCUGUGCCAGAGACCUGAGGCCUGUGUCCAGACUCAUGCUAGGAAGAUGGAGGUACCGAGCUAGUAUCCUGACAAAGUCCCGCUUGGCUUCAGCCAGCAGCCUGGAAGUGCUGUAGCCGGAACUCUGUGUCAGUGCUUUCACCAUUACCAACCUAGCAUGUCAUAUGUGAUGAGCCAGUGACCUCAUAGAAGCCCAUUCUUUGAUAUCAAUCCAGUAUGCUACAUUUGAGGAACAAGUGACCUCAUAGAGGACAUAAACCCAGUAACCUAGAGGUGCUGAAACAUUAACCACAUAAAGGCCUGUUGCCUUGGCGCCAGCCAUCAUUCUAGAAUGUGUUGAGAUUUGACUUUAUCCCAGCAAGCUAAAGGUCCUGAGCUGGUAACCCUCCAAGGCCUGUGCAUUUACAUUAACCCAGCACGCUAUAAUUGAUACAGAAGAAAAAGCAGGUGACACCCAUGAGCAGCUCUCUCAUUGAGACUCUUUGAUUCAGGUUGUUAAAUCUGAGAGGAGCCAAAAGCAUUAGGGAAUGUCUGUGGGUGUGCCAAGAAAGACCCACUCACCCACCCAGUCAGCACAGUAAACUGUUACACUACAAUGUCAUUCAGGUGAAUACAAUGGUUUCAGAACUAA